UAGAGUAGAUAUUGCGCGUCAAGUGUCAUGAGAUGGGAUGUUGCUCAUGAACGAAGGAUCGAUUGACGGAUGAAAGGAUGAAUAAGAUCCGCGGUGCAAUGUCGCGUCCGCUA
This 113-nucleotide non-coding RNA is filed under the name bovine gut metagenome. Its description in RNAcentral is "THF riboswitch". It matches the Rfam family "THF (Tetrahydrofolate) riboswitch aptamer". From Rfam's summary of the family: THF riboswitch presents a pseudoknot that joins P1-P2 and the loop of P3 and two THF binding. The record is from RNAcentral.